Molecule: unclassified non-coding RNA, 186 nt
Filed under: soil metagenome
Description: partial internal transcribed spacer 1
Source: RNAcentral
CAGAGUUGCAAAACUCCCACAAACCAUCGCGAAUCUUACCCGUACGGUUGCCUCGGCGCUGGCGGUCCGGAAGGCCUCGGGCCCCCCGGAUCCUCGGGUCUCCCGCUCGCGGGAGGCUGCCCGCCGGAGUGCCGAAACCAAACUCUUGAUAUUUAUGUCUCUCUGAGUAAACUUUUAAAUAAGUCA